AGUGAACGCUGGCGGUAAGCCUAACACAUGCAAGUCGAACGGCAGCACAGUAAGAGCUUGCUCUUACGGGUGGCGAGUGGCGGACGGGUGAGGAAUACAUCGGAAUCUACUUUUUCGUGGGGGAUAACGUAGGGAAACUUACGCUAAUACCGCAUACGACCUACGGGUGAAAGCAGGGGAUCUUCGGACCUUGCGCGAUUGAAUGAGCCGAUGUCGGAUUAGCUAGUUGGCGGGGUAAAGGCCCACCAAGGCGACGAUCCGUAGCUGGUCCGAGAGGAUGAUCAGCCACACUGGAACUGAGACACGGUCCAGACUCCUACGGGAGGCAGCAGUGGGGAAUAUUGGACAAUGGGCGCAAGCCUGAUCCAGCCAUACCGCGUGGGUGAAGAAGGCCUUCGGGUUGUAAAGCCCUUUUGUUGGGAAAGAAAAGCAGCAGGUUAAUACCCCGCUGUUCUGACGGUACCCAAAGAAUAAGCACCGGCUAACUUCGUG
RNAcentral lists this ribosomal RNA (492 nucleotides) under uncultured bacterium. RNAcentral describes it as "partial 16S ribosomal RNA". It matches the Rfam family "Bacterial small subunit ribosomal RNA", at positions 29 to 507 of the family's 1533-position model. The record is from RNAcentral.